Molecule: ribosomal RNA, 430 nt
Filed under: uncultured bacterium
Lineage: Bacteria
Description: bacterial SSU rRNA
Rfam family: Bacterial small subunit ribosomal RNA
Source: RNAcentral
GAAUUCACUAGUGAUUCAGGCCUAACACAUGCAAGUCGAGCGAUUUACUUCGGUAAAGAGCGGCGGACGGGUGAGUAACGCGUGGGUAACCUGCCCUGUACACACGGAUAACAUACCGAAAGGUAUGCUAAUACGAGAUAAUAUGCUUUUAUCGCAUGGUAGAAGUAUCAAAGCUUUUGCGGUACAGGAUGGACCCGCGUCUGAUUAGCUAGUUGGUAAGGUAACGGCUUACCAAGGCAACGAUCAGUAGCCGACCUGAGAGGGUGAUCGGCCACAUUGGAACUGAGACACGGUCCAAACUCCUACGGGAGGCAGCAGUGGGGAAUAUUGCACAGUGGGCGAAAGCCUGAUGCAGCAACGCCGCGUGAGCAAAGGAGGCCUUCGGGUCGUAAAGCUCUGUCCUCAAGGAAGAUAAUGACGGUACUGAGGA